UGGUUCUCGCAACGAUGAAGAACGCAGCGAAAUGCGAUACGUAAUGUGAAUUGCAGGUUUUCGUGAAUCAUCGAAUCUUUGAACGCACAUUGCGCCCUCUGGUAUUCCGGAGGGCAUGCCUGUUUGAGCGUCAUUUCUCUCUCAAAACUUCGGUUUUGGUAUUGAGUGAUACUCUCUUCUGGGUUAACUUGAAAUAGUGAAUUUGGCAAGAGUGUGCUUUUGUGGCCUCUUGACUGAGAUAAUGUAUUAGGUUCUACCAACUCGUUAUAGCAGUUUGAGAAAGUCCUCUGGCAUAUAUAGCUCGGCCUAACAACCAUUCUAAAAGUUUGACCUCAAAUCAGGUAGGAUUACCCGCUGA
RNAcentral lists this unclassified non-coding RNA (358 nucleotides) under uncultured fungus. RNAcentral describes it as "partial contains 5.8S ribosomal RNA and internal transcribed spacer 2". The stretch from base 1 to 133 matches the Rfam family "5.8S ribosomal RNA", at positions 22 to 154 of the family's 154-position model. Lineage: Eukaryota; Fungi. The record is from RNAcentral.